AGCCACAACAGUCCCGCUGGCUCGCACGGGGUGCUCUUCAUCGAGUGUCCCGCGUGGCCGGCAGAGUUUACUUUGAAAAAAUUAGAGUGCUCAAAGCAGGCUACACUGACGGCCUGAAUGCCUAUGCAUGGAAUAAUGGAAUAGGACCUCGGUUCUAUUUUGUCGGUUUUCUGAACCCGAGGUAAUGACUAAUAGGAACAGGCGGGGGCAUUCGUAUUGCGACGCUAGAGGUGAAAUUCUUGGACCGUCGCAAGACGAACUACUGCGAAAGCAUUUGCCAAGGAUGUUUUCAUUAAUCAAGAACGAAAGUUAGAGGUUCGAAGGCGAUCAGAUACCGCCCUAGUUCUAACCAUAAACGAUGCUGACCAGCGAUCCGCCGGCGUUAUUCCCAUGACCCGGCGGGCAGCUUCCGGGAAACCAAAGUCUUUGGGUUCCGGGGGAAGUAUGGUUGCAAAGCUGAAACUUAAAGGAAUUGACGGAAGGGCACCACCAGGAGUGGAGCCUGCGGCUUAAUUUGACUCAACACGGGGAACCUCACCANGCCCAGACACCGGAAGGAUUGACAGAUUGAGAGNUCUUUCUCGAUUCNGUGGGUGGUGGUGCAUGGCCNUUCUUAUUGGUGGAGCGAUUUGUCUGGUUAAUUUCCG
RNAcentral lists this ribosomal RNA (647 nucleotides) under Barytelphusa jacquemontii. RNAcentral's name for it is "SSU rRNA". It matches the Rfam family "Eukaryotic small subunit ribosomal RNA", at positions 685 to 1327 of the family's 1831-position model. Lineage: Eukaryota; Metazoa; Arthropoda; Malacostraca; Decapoda; Gecarcinucidae. The record is from RNAcentral.